GUCUACAGCCAUACCACCCCCAACACGCCCAAUCUCGACUGAUCUCGGGAAGCUAAGCAGGGUCGUGCCUGGUUAGUACUUGGAUGGGAGAAAGUUACAGUCCAGAGUGUGUCC
Ribosomal RNA from Ochotona princeps (American pika), 114 nucleotides. The record is from Ensembl. NCBI's taxonomy places the organism in Eukaryota, Metazoa, Chordata, Mammalia, Lagomorpha, Ochotonidae.